UUGAUCCUGGCUCAGGACGAACGCUGGCGGCGCGCUUAACACAUGCAAGUCGAGCGAUGAAACUUUAACAGAACCCUUCGGGGCGAAGAUAAAGUGGAUUAGCGGCGGACGGGUGAGUAACACGUGAGUAACCUGCCUUAGACAUUGGGAUAGCCUCGGGAAACCGGGAUUAAUACCAAAUAAAAUCAUAAUGACACAUGUCAUAACGAUCAAAACUCCGGUGGUCUAAGAUGGACUCGCGUCCCAUUAGCUAGUUGGUAGAGUAAAAGCCUACCAAGGCGACGAUGGGUAGCCGGCCUGAGAGGGUGAACGGCCACAUUGGAACUGAGAAACGGUCCAAACUCCUACGGGAGGCAGCAGUGGGGAAUAUUGCACAAUGGAGGGAACUCUGAUGCAGCGACGCCGCGUGAACGAAGAAGGCUUUCGAGUCGUAAAGUUCUUUUAUAUGGGAAGAUAAUGACGGUACCAUAAGAAAAAGCCCCGGCUAACUACGUGCCAGCAGCCGCGGUAAUACGUAGGGGGCUAGCGUUGUCCGGAAUCACUGGGCGUAAAGGGUUCGCAGGCGGAAAUGCAAGUCAGAUGUAAAAGGCAGUAGCUUAACUACUGUAAGCAUUUGAAACUGCAUAUCUUGAGAAGAGUAGAGGUAAGUGGAAUUUUUAGUGUAGCGGUGAAAUGCGUAGAUAUUAAAAAGAAUACCGGUGGCGAAGGCGACUUACUGGGCUCAUUCUGACGCUGAGGAACGAAAGCGUGGGUAGCAAACAGGAU
This 765-nucleotide ribosomal RNA is filed under the name uncultured Eubacteriales bacterium. Its description in RNAcentral is "bacterial SSU rRNA". It matches the Rfam family "Bacterial small subunit ribosomal RNA", at positions 13 to 778 of the family's 1533-position model. The record is from RNAcentral. Lineage: Bacteria; Bacillati; Bacillota; Clostridia; Eubacteriales.